Molecule: long non-coding RNA, 251 nt
Filed under: Vigna radiata
Lineage: Eukaryota; Viridiplantae; Streptophyta; Magnoliopsida; Fabales; Fabaceae
Description: long non-coding RNA (VRAD_LNC017468)
Source: RNAcentral
AUACACAAGAAACACACCCUAAAAGCACUUUUACAAAAAAAUAAAAAUAAAAAACAAUUAAAAAAAAUAAAACAAAAUAAUUACAACCAAGUCAAAAUCAAUUAAUCCACACUACUAGAAAAAUAAACCUCGAGUCCCCGGCAACAGCGCCAAAAACUUGUUGACGGAUUGGCAAGUGUACCAAAUCGUACAAGUAAUAUAAAUGGUAAGACCAAGUAUCGUGUUCCCAAGAGACUCGAGUGGCUUUCUCG